Molecule: ribosomal RNA, 1252 nt
Filed under: uncultured Acinetobacter sp.
Lineage: Bacteria; Pseudomonadati; Pseudomonadota; Gammaproteobacteria; Moraxellales; Moraxellaceae
Description: bacterial SSU rRNA
Rfam family: Bacterial small subunit ribosomal RNA
Source: RNAcentral
AGCUUGCUACCUGACCUAGCGGCGGACGGGUGAGUAAUGCUUAGGAAUCUGCCUAUUAGUGGGGGACAACAUUCCGAAAGGAAUGCUAAUACCGCAUACGCCCUACGGGGGAAAGCAGGGGAUCUUCGGACCUUGCGCUAAUAGAUGAGCCUAAGUCAGAUUAGCUAGUUGGUGGGGUAAAGGCCUACCAAGGCGACGAUCUGUAGCGGGUCUGAGAGGAUGAUCCGCCACACUGGGACUGAGACACGGCCCAGACUCCUACGGGAGGCAGCAGUGGGGAAUAUUGGACAAUGGGCGAAAGCCUGAUCCAGCCAUGCCGCGUGUGUGAAGAAGGCCUUUUGGUUGUAAAGCACUUUAAGCGAGGAGGAGGCUACUUGGAUUAAUACUCUAGGAUAGUGGACGUUACUCGCAGAAUAAGCACCGGCUAACUCUGUGCCAGCAGCCGCGGUAAUACAGAGGGUGCGAGCGUUAAUCGGAUUUACUGGGCGUAAAGCGUGCGUAGGCGGCUUUUUAAGUCGGAUGUGAAAUCCCUGAGCUUAACUUAGGAAUUGCAUUCGAUACUGGGAAGCUAGAGUAUGGGAGAGGAUGGUAGAAUUCCAGGUGUAGCGGUGAAAUGCGUAGAGAUCUGGAGGAAUACCGAUGGCGAAGGCAGCCAUCUGGCCUAAUACUGACGCUGAGGUACGAAAGCAUGGGGAGCAAACAGGAUUAGAUACCCUGGUAGUCCAUGCCGUAAACGAUGUCUACUAGCCGUUGGGGCCUUUGAGGCUUUAGUGGCGCAGCUAACGCGAUAAGUAGACCGCCUGGGGAGUACGGUCGCAAGACUAAAACUCAAAUGAAUUGACGGGGGCCCGCACAAGCGGUGGAGCAUGUGGUUUAAUUCGAUGCAACGCGAAGAACCUUACCUGGUCUUGACAUAGUAAGAACUUUCCAGAGAUGGAUUGGUGCCUUCGGGAACUUACAUACAGGUGCUGCAUGGCUGUCGUCAGCUCGUGUCGUGAGAUGUUGGGUUAAGUCCCGCAACGAGCGCAACCCUUUUCCUUAUUUGCCAGCGGGUUAAGCCGGGAACUUUAAGGAUACUGCCAGUGACAAACUGGAGGAAGGCGGGGACGACGUCAAGUCAUCAUGGCCCUUACGACCAGGGCUACACACGUGCUACAAUGGUCGGUACAAAGGGUUGCUACCUAGCGAUAGGAUGCUAAUCUCAAAAAGCCGAUCGUAGUCCGGAUUGGAGUCUGCAACUCGACUCCAUGAA